CCGGUCGGCCUAUGGAACCACNGUUGUGUGCCUCCGUGCAUUACGUCGAAGGCAAAUACGCCCUCUAAUCGGUGUGGGCUUGCACACACCGGUGGGGCUUGAUAGAAAUUCAAGUCUUGGCGCUGUACCCUAACGAGAAAGCGAUGAUGGCCCGAUGAGAAUGACGAAUCGUGAAAGCGAUGAUGACCCGGAGAGCCCCAAAUCGUGAAAGCGUUAGGCGAGAGUGUCAKCAAGCUCNANAUGGGUACCGUCGCAUGUGGNAAGGGUUGCUACUUGGUCUUGCCUAUAUAUAUGUGUCUGAUCGGACUUGUUUCUCAUGCCUCGUUAACGAUCAUGUUGGUGAGCGUUGAUUGAGCCUUUGCUUUUGAUCNAAUGGCAUAUCUACGGGGUUGUUUGGUCUCUGUUGCGCGAGCAACAUGAGAAACCAGUUCCUUCUACGUUGAUAUAUAUAAGCAAGCGAUGACGCAAUCGUUCUUACAUGCCACGGUACCCUUCUCGAUUGUCCCUUCCCGACCGACCCUUCCAGACCGACCCUUCCAGACCGACCCUUCCAGACCGACCCUUCCAGACCGACCCUUCCAGAUCGACCCUUCCUGAUCGACCCUUCCUGAUUUUCCCAUCGUUCGGGGCAUUCUGGGGCUGUUUCGGCUAUUGGUUGCUUGUUUGGUCUUGAGCUGAACGGGUGGCUUCUAGUUUGGUGGCUUCGGGGAUGUUGACCGUAAAGGUGGAUGAGUGGUGUUUGGUUUGUUACGUGUGGUUGGCUGCUGCGUUUGCAACAACUUCCAUGCUUUCAGACCUCUUCAGUUGUGCGGCAAGGCUUGUAUCGCCUUGAACGUACUGUGGGUUUUCUGUGUUGGCUACCUAAUCAACGGUAUCGGUUGGAUUGAUCAAAGUUUGAUUUCGUCUUCCGUCGCAUUCGCGGCGUGAGGUGAACCUCGAUGCGGUCUCUUUGAUCCACCUCGUUGAAGCACAUGCUUCGGCGUUGUGGCACAUUGAGCAUUGCUUGGUCUCUUGUAUACGGAACAUAUAGUGGGCAUGGAUCUAACGAUUCUCGUUUGCCCUCAUAUUAGCGUAACGCUUCUCUAACACGACUCGCGCC
This 1099-nucleotide unclassified non-coding RNA is filed under the name Artemisia deserti. RNAcentral's name for it is "partial external transcribed spacer". Lineage: Eukaryota; Viridiplantae; Streptophyta; Magnoliopsida; Asterales; Asteraceae. The record is from RNAcentral.